GGUUCACUUUGGAGUUGUGUCUUUAACAAAAUCGUGUUUCUGUUUGCACACUCGAGUGACCCGAGA
This is a non-coding RNA of Angomonas deanei, 66 nucleotides long. The record is from Rfam. NCBI's taxonomy places the organism in Eukaryota, Euglenozoa, Kinetoplastea, Trypanosomatida, Trypanosomatidae.